This is a long non-coding RNA of Hypanus sabinus (Atlantic stingray), 3360 nucleotides long. RefSeq lists it as uncharacterized. The record is from RefSeq and is a predicted model, not a curated record. The transcript has 5 exons. Lineage: Eukaryota; Metazoa; Chordata; Chondrichthyes; Myliobatiformes; Dasyatidae.
AAGCUAACUAAUUGCGAAGGACAAAAUUCUAAAUUGGUAGGUCAGAAGAUGAAAACAUUUUAAAAGACUAUAAUCAGGGUGCAUAGGGGUUAGCACAACGCUUUACAGUACCGGUGACCCGGGUUCAAUUCCCACCACUGCCUGUGAGGAGUUUGUACGUUCUUCCCUGUGACCGUGUGGGUUUCCUCUCGGUGCUCCGGUUUCCUACCACAGUCCAAAGAUAUACCGGUUGGUAGGUUAAUUGGCCAUUGUAAAUUGUCUCGUGAUUAGGCUAGGAUUAAAUGGAAGGUUGUUGGGCGGUGCAGCUCAAAGCGCAGGAGGGACAUGUUCUGCACUGAACAAAUAAAUAAAUGAUUGCUCUUGAAUGAUUCCUUUUGGUUUAAUUCCUACAAUCAGGAGGGGAAAAAACACAACCUCACAACCUCCCCUGACAUUACCCCCGGAUCUGUGGUCUUCUGUUGGUCAGAGAGCCAUACGGCGUGGCAAACAGUCCGUUUGGGUCACAACAUCCGUGGCAACCAGUCGUCGUAAUUUGUAUUAAUCUCUCUAAAUAAAAUAUAACAAAAUACGCCAGCUCCCAUGGUUCAUAACAGCUUGGGAGUCUCACAGUAUUCAUCGUUCACAAUUUCCCAACCGUACCUGCUCAGAUCAAUUCACUUUUGCAUUUCAUUUUAUCCACUGAUUUUAAGACAUGCAAUACAAGGCGUAUGCAUUUAAGCCAGGUCCAAAACUGCCUGUUUUACUCACUAACAAACUUCCAUAAAGAAUCGAGGCUGACAGAGCUGUGAAGUACCGAGGGAGUGCCACAUUGUCAUUUGUGGUCAAGCUUCCACAUGUCUUUUCAAGCGGUCAUAACUGAUCCCAUAGUGUUAUUUUGAUACAAUGGCAAUUAUGGCUUAGUGCCCUCUCCAGUAUUUAUUCCUCGGUCAACAUCACAAAAUAAAGCAUCUAUUCUUUACCGGAUUUCCGCUUCUAGGAGUGUGUUGUAGUUCCAAAACUUAGUGAUUGCCCUUUAAACAAAAACAUUUAAUUGGUUAUUAUGUGUUCCAGGGCACCCAGAAGUCCUGGAGCAAAUUAUGCAUUUCUGAUACAUAUUUGCAUAUAGAAUGUGCAGUUGUGAAAUAUGUGAGUGGAUCUGUACUAAAAAUAACCUUUGAACCUCUGUCACAGUCUCAAUGUAUAAAAUGUUCGAUCUAUUUACAUGCUCGGUUGGUUUUGCAUACAAAACCCAGACGAUAGAAUUUGAAUGAAGUGGCCAACAACCUCUAUGGAGUUUCAAUUACUUUGUAAAUUUACUGAAUUCAGCAGCUCGUUUAACAGCAUGCCUUUUGGCUUAUUAUUCACUGACUUUUACACGGCUCCUCCCAAAGGAAUGGGGCUAGUUAGGGCAGGACACCUGUUGUGCUCUCCAUACGUCACAAAGUUUUCACAUUUCCUGAGCUGCUGGCUGGCGGCGAAGUGGCAUCCACGCCGGACUUUGAGGCGAGUGGUCCCGGGUUCGAAUCCGGCCGGCUCCUUGCACGCUUUCCACCUGUGCGGGGUUGAGCGUCGAGCUAGCAACUCGGCCUCGUAAAAAAAACCAAAGGUUAAAGGAAGGGCGAGGUUGCCGUCUUAUGCGCCAAGCAAGGCGCGGAGCGAGGUAGUCAACUUUCCAAUUGCUUAGUGGUGCUUAUGGGUGCAACGGAGAGGGGACAAAUUAAGUAUUUUUACUCCAUCUUGUGCUCCCUUGAGCUCAUUACUACAUAACUUGUGGUUACUGCUGGAAGGCUUCCAGGAUAAUCACCGUACUGCAGUCAACCAGUUAGGCUCUUACAUAGUUCGUCUUCUUACAUUCACUCCACAAUACUUGGAACACUUGGAACCUAGGAGUCAUACUUCUGACAUGGACCGAGAAGAAAUUCCAUUUAUUAUUGUGUCUAGACAUGGCAGACAGAAUCCAAGUGACUACAGGAGAAGAAAAUAAUCAUUCCAUGACUUGGGAUCUCCUCUUCUUGAAGGUGGUUCAGAGGGGAAAUGAGGAAUGAUAUUUAGAAACAAGUCUAGAGUGGUUGGCCUGUAUGAAGGUUGGGGCUACGUGGUGGCGUGGAGGUUAGCGCAACGCUCUACAGUGCCAGUGACCCUGGUUCAAAUCCUGCCACUGACUAGCGAAGAUGCCUGCCGUGUAUUUGUUUAAUGUGUACUUGAUGUUGCACUCCGAGAAGCACACGAUACUUCACAAAUCAACCAGCUGAUUCCAAUGGCAUGGAAACCACGACGAUGGGAGCUGAUGGAUUUGUUGCAGCCUUCGUCCGCCUUCACAGCCGUUGAGUUUGAAGUGACGUCGUCCGCCUGUUCCACCGUUGAGGUCUUGGUUGGAUUGUUCUUUGUCAGGGACCUCACCCUCGACCUCACCGCCAUGGGUGACCCUACCAGGAGCACAGCUCCAGACGGCAUCGCUCUCGGGAUCUCAGGACCACACGAGCUUCUCCACCACGACAAGUCCACGGAUGAUAUGGUAGUGCCGGAAUCGAUCAGAACUCCUCUCCACAGAUGCUGCCUGGUCUGCUGAGUUCCUCCAGCAUUUUGAGGGUGUUGCUCGGAUUUCCAGCAGAUUUUCUCUUGCUUGCUUAUAAUGGUGGCAUCCAACAUUAAGGACCCCCAUCACCUUCUUCUCAUUGCUGCCGUCAGGGAGGAGGUACAGAAGCCUGAAGACACACACUCAGCGAUUCAGGAACAGCUUCUUCCCCUCUGCCAUCAGGGAGGAGGUACAGGAGCCUGAAGGCACACACUCAGUGAAUCAGGCACCGAGAUACAGUGAAAAGCUGGUGUUUGCGUCCAUUCCGACGGAUCAUUGUACACCCAGGUCGUGCAGAAAGAAAAAAUAACGCAUAGUCUAGUGGAGUAUUACUGUUACUGAGAAAGUACCAUCGUAGAGUAGACAAAUACCGUGCAUGUUAUUCAGUGCUUUAAUCAGUCUUCAAAAGGCAAGUAUUAAGCUUAAGUCAUCCUUGGAUGUAACCAUGGUUAACGUUUCUUUCUUUCUUCCAAUAUUUUUAUUAAGUUUCUUAUACUGUAAACAAAUACAACGUUCAUAAGGAUACUUAUUAUAAAUCAAAAUAAAAUAGCAUAAAAUGCACUGAAUAUGAAUCACACUGAUGCAAUCACGGUAUCCCAUAAUGAUCAAUCAAAUAAAAUAAAUUGAAUGAUGAAAUACCGUAGUAUGGUUAAUUAUAUUUAAAAAAAACUAUACCCCCUACCAAGACAAAGCUGGUUGGUAAAAAAAAGAGAGUACUUUACCAUAGUUUUUAUAGUAAUAGCCCAGAUCUAUAUUUUAAUAACAAUUCAAAGAUUUUUAAAAUAGUUCAGAAAGGGUCCCCGUAA